GAUGAACGCUAGCGGCGUGCUUAAUGCAUGCAAGUCGAACGAUAAACCCUUCGGGGUCGAAAGUGGCGAACGGGUGAGUAAUGCGUUGGUGACCUGCCUUGUAGUGGGGGACAACCGCUGGAAACGGUGGCUAAUACCCCAGAUGCCAUUGUGUUUGGAAAACAAUGUCUAAAGCUACGGUGCUACAAGAGGGGCCAACGUCCCAUCAGCUAGUUGGUGAGGUAACGGCUCACCAAGGCAAAGACGGGUAGGGGCGGUGAGAGCGUGACCCCCACCACUGGUACGUGACACACGGACCGACGAUACCUA
This 309-nucleotide ribosomal RNA is filed under the name uncultured bacterium. Its description in RNAcentral is "bacterial SSU rRNA". It matches the Rfam family "Bacterial small subunit ribosomal RNA", at positions 28 to 341 of the family's 1533-position model. The record is from RNAcentral.